This is a small nucleolar RNA of Grammomys surdaster, 142 nucleotides long. RefSeq annotates it as small nucleolar RNA SNORA48. NCBI's taxonomy places the organism in Eukaryota, Metazoa, Chordata, Mammalia, Rodentia, Muridae. The transcript has a single exon. The record is from RefSeq and is a predicted model, not a curated record.
AACCCCCGACAAUGGGCAAAGAGACACCUCGUUGGUGGUAUUGUUCUUCUAUCAGGGAGGGGCAGAGCAGUUAGCCCUUUGUUUAUCCUAGCUUGAUGCCUGACUUAGUGACCAAAGCAUUGUUUAUGCCUAGGAUUCAUAA